UAUUUCAGGCAGUAUACUGGUAAAGGGUUUUAUUUGCACCAUUCUUACCUGUUGCUACCUGAAAUUAAU
This 69-nucleotide microRNA precursor is filed under the name Strongylocentrotus purpuratus (purple sea urchin). RNAcentral describes it as "Spu-Mir-2007_pre stem-loop". Lineage: Eukaryota; Metazoa; Echinodermata; Echinoidea; Camarodonta; Strongylocentrotidae. The record is from RNAcentral.